Long non-coding RNA from Sciurus carolinensis (gray squirrel), 769 nucleotides. RefSeq lists it as uncharacterized. The record is from RefSeq and is a predicted model, not a curated record. The transcript is spliced from 7 exons. NCBI's taxonomy places the organism in Eukaryota, Metazoa, Chordata, Mammalia, Rodentia, Sciuridae.
GGUGGGGCAGGGCGGCCGCAGGAGAGGCCAGAGGGCCCCUGCUGGGGCCAGGCUGUGGCUGGGCUGACUGCAGGAGCAGGGGUCAAUUGAGGUUGUAUCAUAUCUGCCUGGCCCCCUCAGGCCUGCCAGACUGAGGCCUGUGGACCAACAGCAAUGAUGUCACCUGGGAGCUUGUUACAAAGUGCAGAGUGCAGCGCUAUGGAAGCAGAAUCUGUGUGUUAACAAGAUCUGCAGAUGAAAAAACUAAGACACAGAGAGGACACGUGAACUGUCACACAGCUAUCAAGUAGCACAGUUGGCCUUCAAACCCAGGAAGAUGGAUGUAAAUGCCACAUGAGCAGCCCUGCACCUCUGGAGCCCCCACAGGCGAUGUCUUUCUCUGGAGAGGUUGUUUGUUCCAAGAAGACAGGGAUUGGUUUUACCAAAUUAUCUUUGUAAGAGCCCAAAAUAGCAUCAUUAAUUCAUGUAAUAAGUACUUCUGAGAGCCUACUCGGAGUGAGGUUCUAGGAGGGAAGACAAACUAGUGAGAAGACCACUAAUGAAGAGGGGUGAGCAUCUAGCUAUUGGCUGGUUCUUACUUCUAGGGUUCAGGUGGGGAAAUUGAGACAGAGUGCUAAGAGCUUUGUUCAAGGUUCAAUUUUAAGUGCUAAAGCUGGGAUAUGGACCCAGAUCUAUUUAAUUCCAGAAAUCAAAUUCCUAACUACCUUUUUAUUAUGGAGUCUUGUAGACAGUACUAGCCCGUCUCUACUGUACUAUUAUCAAGAAGACC